Molecule: ribosomal RNA, 411 nt
Filed under: uncultured bacterium
Lineage: Bacteria
Description: bacterial SSU rRNA
Rfam family: Bacterial small subunit ribosomal RNA
Source: RNAcentral
CAGCAGCCGCGGUAAUACGGGGGGAGCAAGCGUUGUUCGGAUUUACUGGGCGUAAAGGGCGCGUAGGCGGCCACCGCAAGUCGACUGUGAAAUCUCCGGGCUUAACCCGGAAAGGUCAGCCGAUACUGCGGGGCUAGAGUGCAGAAGGGGCAACUGGAAUUCUCGGUGUAGCGGUGAAAUGCGUAGAUAUCGAGAGGAACACCUGCGGCGAAGGCGGGUUGCUGGGCUGACACUGACGCUGAUGCGCGAAAGCUAGGGGAGCGAACGGGAUUAGAUACCCCGGUAGUCCUAGCCUUAAACGAUGAAUGCUUGGUGUCUGGGGUUUUAUAGUCCCCGGGUGCCGUCGCUAACGCUUUAAGCAUUCCGCCUGGCGAGUACGGUCGCAAGACUGAAACUCAAAGGAAUUGACGG